Molecule: ribosomal RNA, 497 nt
Filed under: uncultured bacterium
Lineage: Bacteria
Description: partial 16S ribosomal RNA
Rfam family: Bacterial small subunit ribosomal RNA
Source: RNAcentral
GAUGAACGCUGGCGGCGUGCCUAAUACAUGCAAGUCGAGCGAACGGACGAGAAUCUUGCUUCUCUGAUGUUAGCGGCGGACGGGUGAGUAACACGUGGAUAACCUACCUAUAUUACUUGGAUAACUUCGUGAAACCGGAUCUAAUACCUGAUAAUAUUUUGAACCGCAUUGUUCAUUAGUGAAUUACGUUCUUGCUGUCACUUAUAGAUUGAUCCGCGCUUCAUUAGCUAGUUGGUAAGGUAACGGCUUACCAAGGCAACGAUGCAUAGCCGACCUGAGAGGGUGAUCGGCCACACUGGAACUGAGACACGGUCCAGACUCCUACGGGAGGCAGCAGUAGGGAAUCUUCCGCAAUGGGCGAAAGCCUGACGGAGCAACGCCGCGUGAGUGAUGAAGGUCUUCGGAUCGUAAAACUCUGUUAUUAGGGAAGAACAUAUGUGUAAGUAACUGUGCACAUCUUGACGGUACCUAAUCAGAAAGCCACGGCUAACUACGUG